RNAcentral lists this long non-coding RNA (227 nucleotides) under Hordeum vulgare. RNAcentral's name for it is "long non-coding RNA (HVUL_LNC016514)". The record is from RNAcentral. Lineage: Eukaryota; Viridiplantae; Streptophyta; Magnoliopsida; Poales; Poaceae.
AACACCACAUCCCCAUGGAGACGAGCUUGGUCUAAUCAGACCCAGACGCUCCUGCUCGUCGAGUUGCCUCUUGAGUUCCUUCAACUCUUCUGGACCCAGCUUGUACGGCCGUUUGCACACUGGCUCUGUGCCUGGCUCAAGCUCAAUGACGAACUCCACUUCGCGGUGCGGAGGCAUGCCUGGCAGCUCUUCAGGAAACACGUCUUGAUAUUCACAGACUACUGGAA